GGCCCGUCGCCAUGUUGUUCCCUCCGCGCUGGACGGGAGCAGCUGGACCUGGAACCUGGCUGCGCUACCGCCGCUGCCUCCUGCUGUGCAGGUCCCCGACCCUCUCUCUGCCCUCAUUGCACCCAGACGGGCCGGCCCAGAGCUCCCGACUCGUCUUCCGUGUGGUUGCGAGACACUCUUGCACUCCUGUAAUGAGCCUGGCACUGUGAUGAAACACUUUUCCUCUGUUGUUUGAGUGCAUCUUCUCAACAACCCUAGGAGAACCUUCAAGGGACAUCACUUACCAGAUUCAAGCUUUGCCAGCUUAGCUUUCCUCAUGAUCAACUCCUAUCUAUCAGCUGUCAGUUCUACCCACGUGCCCAAGUGCUCUUCACACCUUCAUGCCUGCAAUGCUUUCCUGUGCAGCCUACCUUGGAGGUCCCACUCAAUGCUCCACUUCCCUUCCAGCUCCUUUAAAGACUCAGUCACACAUGAAAUUUGGCAUUUAACUUUAGUAAUAUACUCACAAGUGUGUUAAUAGUUCUUACCUCACCUUCACCAGCCUGGAGAAAAGGCUAUUUUCAGGGUACCACUGUUGUGCAGCUGAGCCAAGUCUUCCCGCUCUCAAUCACCCUGCUGCUCUUGGUUGGCCUGCAUCACAGCCCUCUGGAUGAUAUGCUCAUUGAGGGUGGGGCCAACUAUAUUCCAAAAAAUACUCGUUUGCUGAAAUUACUCCUAGAUUUCUAGAUGAGUAUGUAAAUUUUUCUGCUCCCAAAGCUCUGGCAUCUAGUUUGAGUCAAUCUGAGCUCUGUAACAGGUGAAGACAUCAUAUUAGUUUGCAGACUAUCAAUAGGAGAGAUAGGACGAAAGCAGCACUUUAAAAAUGGAUAUUAAACUACCACAAUCUUGAAAAAACAUCUUUAUUUAAGAAAUCAAAUAGGGUAAAAAUGAUGCAAUUUCACACAAGGAUACAAGACAAAGCUUAGAAUUACUUGCUCAAAAGUUACUCAGAAUGGAACAAAAUUGUUCAAGUGCUCCAAAUUAGCAUAGGUUGUAUUACUUGCUUUCCAAUGGACAUUUACUAUUUUACAGUAAGAUCUACUUAUCAUAGGAACAAAAAGAAAAUUCCCAGCCCCCUCUGGUGUGUAACUUAAAAGGCUGAGUACAAAUGUUAAUGUAAUCCAAACUUUUCUUUGACAACAAUACUAAAAAUUAUAUUACAACUUUUUAUGAGUAGCAACAGUUUACUGUCUGAAGGAAAGGAAAUGUAAGAAUAUAAAGUGACAGAAGCAACACACUUCACUGUGGCCUGCAACUGCUCCCAGCCUCCUAUUUUAUAAACAUGAUUUGGGUUCUCACAUUAUAGCAGGAUCACUAUUCCUAGCCUCUGGCAGAAGCAGACAUGUGACACUUAGCACUGCACAAGUGUUUCUUUGGCUUCUUGAGUAGUGCUGUGUAUACUGCCUAUACAUUUUUAUAACAUCUCUAAAUGCAUAACAUCAAUGUAUGUGCUAUCACAUUUCACUCUCAACUGCAGAACAUUUUAAUUUUAAAUUUAUCUACCAAAUCUUGACUAUGACAUUUAUUUUUGGGUUGUUACGUUAAGAUCAACCUAUCUGGGCCAGGCACGGUGGUUCACACCUGUAAUCCCAGCACUUUGGGAGGCUGAGGCAGGAGAA
Molecule: RNA transcript, 1658 nt
Organism: Piliocolobus tephrosceles (Ugandan red Colobus)
Lineage: Eukaryota; Metazoa; Chordata; Mammalia; Primates; Cercopithecidae
Gene: RAB9A
Gene name: RAB9A, member RAS oncogene family
Exons: 3
Source: RefSeq, a predicted model, not a curated record